RNAcentral lists this ribosomal RNA (253 nucleotides) under uncultured bacterium. RNAcentral describes it as "partial 16S ribosomal RNA". It matches the Rfam family "Bacterial small subunit ribosomal RNA", at positions 524 to 776 of the family's 1533-position model. The record is from RNAcentral.
UACAGAGGGUGCAAGCGUUGCUCGGAAUCACUGGGCGUAAAGGGCGUGUAGGCGGGAAGUUAAGUCAGAUGUGAAAUCCCCAGGCUCAACCUGGGAACUGCAUUUGAAACUCCCUUUCUUGAGUACCGGAGAGGAAAGUGGAAUUCCUGGUGUAGAGGUGAAAUUCGUAGAUAUCAGGAGGAACACCAGUGGCGAAGGCGGCUUUCUGGACGGUAACUGACGCUGAGACGCGAAAGCGUGGGGAGCAAACAGG